RNAcentral lists this long non-coding RNA (855 nucleotides) under Homo sapiens (human). RNAcentral's name for it is "non-protein coding TP53TG1:6". The record is from RNAcentral. Lineage: Eukaryota; Metazoa; Chordata; Mammalia; Primates; Hominidae.
GCCUGCGCGGUAGUGGGACCCGACCCUGUCUCCAGUGGGCGUCUUGGGCCCCGGCUCUAUUCUGGGCUGCGGGCCUGGGAAGGGCUCGCCGGGUGCCAAAUGAGCUGUCCUAACUCUGCGGGGCUGCAGCUUCCUGCAUGAUGCUGGGGAGCUUGGCGCCUGACCCAGGAUCUAGAAGGCACUCUGGGCAGGCCGCGCUCCGCCCACGAAGGUACCCAACCCUCUGGGAUAGAUGCAGGAAGCGAUGGUUAAGACCCAUUUUCACCCAACUUCUCGCCGCAGGUCUGGCUUACCACACGCUCCUCCCCAUUCCCAGUGAGCCGCUUUUUGCAGCACCAGGCGAACACUUACACCAGUGCUUUGUAAAGGAAUCUUAUUGUCCACCCCGUGUCUUGGCAAAAGAACAGUGAUCACACAGAUUCCUACUUGGGCUCUUUCCUUUAAUCUUCGGAGGCUGAGUUUGCCCAACUCAGGUUUAACCACCAAGGACUCUGAGAGCUGGCAGGUCUGAGUAACCCUGGUAACAAUUCUCUUCACCUUAUCAAAACCUGAGCUAAAACCAAUGCAUCAGCUGAUGAUGACAGCAGAGAGUGGCAGGGCUGAGGACCCAAAGUCAUUUCCCAGGCUGGCGGAGAAUAAACUGCCAGGGAGAAGAAUGAGAAGACAGGAGACAAACUGUUUGGAAAGCUAAAUCUUCCCUCUUAAUGAAUAAAGGUUUUUGCCUUGUCUUAAAGUUUCUGAGUCCUAAUUUUGGCAAAAUAAAUAACUUAUGGUAAUCUGGAAUUGUAUUUUGUAAUAUUAAGUGUUUUGAACCUCUAACAUUUACUUCCCAAAAUCAAACUUCAGUUUCAAAAU